UGUAUUUAGAGGAAGUAACAGUCGUNACUAGGUUUCCGUAGGUGAACAUGCGGAAGGAUCAUUAUUGAAAUAAACCUGAUGGGUUGUUGCUGGCUCUCUAGGGAGCAUGUGCACGCCUUGUCAUCUUUAUAUCUCCACCUGUGCACCUUUUGUAGACCUUUCGGGGUCUAUGUUGCUUCAUUUUUCCACAAUGUAUGUUAAUAGAAUGUUGUGCCCUGUAUAAUAUAUACAACUUUCAGCAACGGAUCUCUUGGCUCUCGCAUCGAUGAAGAACGCAGCGAAAUGCGAUAAGUAAUGUGAAUUGCAGAAUUCAGUGAAUCAUCGAAUCUUUGAACGCACCUUGCGCUCCUUGGUAUUCCGAGGAGCAUGCCUGUUUGAGUGUCAUUAAUAUACAUAUAUCAAGCCUUCUCUUGUAGAAGGGUUUGGAUGUGGGGGUUUGCUGGCCUCUUAAUCUUAAGAGUUCAGCUCUCCUGAAAUGCAUUAGCAGAACAACCUUAUGUUCAUUGGUGUGAUAACUAUCUACGCUAUUGAAUGUUGAGGGGGAAGUUCAGCUUUCUAACGGUCCCUUGGACAACUCAUCAUUAAUGUGACCUCAAAUCAGGUAGGACUACCCGCUGAACUUAAGCAUAUCAAUAAGCGGAGGAAAAGAAACUAACAAGGAUUCCCCUAGUAACUGCGAGUGAAGCGGGAAAAGCUCAAAUUUAAAAUCUGGCGGUUUUUUUGGCCGUCCGAGUUGUAAUCUAGAGAAGUGUUAUCCGCGCUGGACCGUGUACAAGUCUCCUGGAAUGGAGCAUCAUAGAGGGUGAGAAUCCCGUCUUUGACAUGGACUGCCAGGGCUUUGUGAUGCGCUCUCAAAGAGUCGAGUUGUAUGGGAAUGCAGCUCAAAAUGGGUGGUAAAUUACAUCUAAAGCU
RNAcentral lists this ribosomal RNA (912 nucleotides) under Cortinarius saniosus. RNAcentral's name for it is "eukaryotic LSU rRNA". The stretch from base 588 to 912 matches the Rfam family "Eukaryotic large subunit ribosomal RNA", at positions 1 to 317 of the family's 3401-position model. The record is from RNAcentral. Lineage: Eukaryota; Fungi; Basidiomycota; Agaricomycetes; Agaricales; Cortinariaceae.